RNAcentral lists this ribosomal RNA (433 nucleotides) under uncultured bacterium. RNAcentral describes it as "partial 16S ribosomal RNA". It matches the Rfam family "Bacterial small subunit ribosomal RNA", at positions 29 to 507 of the family's 1533-position model. The record is from RNAcentral.
AACGAACGCUGGCGGCAUGCCUAACACAUGCAAGUCGAACGAGACCUUCGGGUCUAGUGGCGCACGGGUGCGUAACGCGUGGGAACCUGCCCUUAGGUUCGGAAUAACUCCCCGAAAGGGGUGCUAAUACCGGAUAAUGUCUUCGGACCAAAGAUUUAUCGCCUUUGGAUGGGCCCGCGUUGGAUUAGCUGGUUGGUAGGGUAAAAGCCUACCAAGGCGACGAUCCAUAGCUGGUGUGAGAGGAUGAUCAGCCACACUGGGACUGAGACCCGGCCCAGACUCCGACGGGAGGCAGCAGUGGGGAAUAUUGGACAAUGGGCGAAAGCCUGAUCCAGCAAUGCCGCGUGAGUGAUGAAGGCCUUAGGGUUGUAAAGCUCUUUUACCCGGGAUGAUAAUGACAGUACCGGGAGAAUAAGCUCCGGCUAACUCCGUG